CAGCAGCCACGGUAAGACAGAGGAUGCAGGCGUUAUCCGGAAUGAUUGGGCGUAAAGCGUCUGUAGGUGGCUUUUCAAGUCCGCCGUCAAAUCCCAGGGCUCAACCCUGGACAGGCGGUGGAAACUACCAGGCUGGAGUACGGUAGGGGCAGAGGGAAUUUCCGGUGGAGCGGUGAAAUGCGUUGAGAUGUGGAGGAACACCGAUGGCGAAGGCAGCCCCUGGGCCAAUACUGACGCUCAUGCACGAAAGCGUGGGGAGCAAACAGGAUUAGAUACCCCUGUAGUCCCUGUCUCUUAUACA
This 301-nucleotide ribosomal RNA is filed under the name uncultured bacterium. RNAcentral's name for it is "partial 16S ribosomal RNA". It matches the Rfam family "Bacterial small subunit ribosomal RNA", at positions 509 to 808 of the family's 1533-position model. The record is from RNAcentral.